Molecule: ribosomal RNA, 438 nt
Filed under: Parvimonas micra
Lineage: Bacteria; Bacillati; Bacillota; Tissierellia; Tissierellales; Peptoniphilaceae
Description: bacterial SSU rRNA
Rfam family: Bacterial small subunit ribosomal RNA
Source: RNAcentral
GAACGCUGGCGGCGUGCUUAACACAUGCAAGUCGAACGUGAUUUUUGUGGAAAUUCUUUCGGGAAUGGAAAUGAAAUGAAAGUGGCGAACGGGUGAGUAACACGUGAGCAACCUACCUUACACAGGGGGAUAGCCGUUGGAAACGACGAUUAAUACCGCAUGAGACCACAGAAUCGCAUGAUAUAGGGGUCAAAGAUUUAUCGGUGUAAGAAGGGCUCGCGUCUGAUUAGCUAGUUGGAAGGGUAAAGGCCUACCAAGGCGACGAUCAGUAGCCGGUCUGAGAGGAUGAACGGCCACAUUGGAACUGAGACACGGUCCAAACUCCUACGGGAGGCAGCAGUGGGGAAUAUUGCACAAUGGGGGGAACCCUGAUGCAGCGACGCCGCGUGAGCGAAGAAGGUUUUCGAAUCGUAAAGCUCUGUCCUAUGAGAAGAUAAU